AAACCAGGCGAAGAGUGCAAACGCAGAAGGGAGCUUAACUGCGAGACCGACAGGUCGAGCAGGUGCGAAAGCAGGUGUUAGUGAUCCGGUGGUCCUGCGUGGAAGGGCCAUCGCUCAUCGGAUAAAAGGUACUCUGGGGAGUAACAGGCGUGAUCGCGCCUGAGAGUUCACAUCGGCGGCGCGGUUUGGCACCUCGAUGUCGGCCCAUCGCAUCCUGGGGCUGGAGCAGGUCCCAAGGGUUCGGCUGUUCGCCGAUUAAAGCGGUACGCGAGCUGGGUUUAAAACGUCGUGAGACAGUUUGGUCCCUAUCUGCCGUGGGCGUAGGACACUUGAGUGGGGCUAUCCAUAGUACGAGAGGACCUGGAUGGACGGACCCCUGGUGAUCCGGUUGUCAUGCCAAUGGCACAGCCGGGUAGCCAAGUCCGGAAUAGAUAACCGCUGAAAGCAUCUAAGCGGGAAGCUAGCCACAAGACAAGGUGUCCCGAGCGCAAGCUCCUCAA
This 500-nucleotide ribosomal RNA is filed under the name uncultured bacterium. Its description in RNAcentral is "bacterial LSU rRNA". It matches the Rfam family "Bacterial large subunit ribosomal RNA", at positions 2335 to 2831 of the family's 2925-position model. The record is from RNAcentral.